RNAcentral lists this ribosomal RNA (496 nucleotides) under uncultured bacterium. Its description in RNAcentral is "partial 16S ribosomal RNA". It matches the Rfam family "Bacterial small subunit ribosomal RNA", at positions 28 to 506 of the family's 1533-position model. The record is from RNAcentral.
GAUGAACGCUGGCGGCGUGCCUAAUACAUGCAAGUCGAGCGAACAGAUGAGGAGCUUGCUCCUCUGACGUUAGCGGCGGACGGGUGAGUAACACGUGGAUAACCUACCUAUAAGACUGGGAUAACUUCGGGAAACCGGAGCUAAUACCGGAUAAUAUAUUGAACCGCAUGGUUCAAUAGUGAAAGACGGUUUUGCUGUCACUUAUAGAUGGAUCCGCGCCGCAUUAGCUAGUUGGUAAGGUAACGGCUUACCAAGGCAACGAUGCGUAGCCGACCUGAGAGGGUGAUCGGCCACACUGGAACUGAGACACGGUCCAGACUCCGACGGGAGGCAGCAGUAGGGAAUCUUCCGCAAUGGGCGAAAGCCUGACGGAGCAACGCCGCGUGAGUGAUGAAGGUCUUCGGAUCGUAAAACUCUGUUAUUAGGGAAGAACAAAUGUGUAAGUAACGAUGCACGUCUUGACGGUACCUAAGCAGAAAGCCACGGCUAACUACGU